GAAAGAAGCUGCUACAACAUUAAAUGGCUACUGGAGGUGGCAAAGUGGGUGGCGUCGACGGCCGCGUCCUCGACGUCCUUAUGAGGACAGGAGGGGUCCUUGUUUCCCCCCCUGAGUACUUCGCCGAUAGCGAGGACGACGCAAGUUCAGAGGAAGCUGCAGGGCCCAGCG
This 171-nucleotide long non-coding RNA is filed under the name Dermacentor andersoni. Its description in RNAcentral is "uncharacterized LOC126518702". The record is from RNAcentral. Lineage: Eukaryota; Metazoa; Arthropoda; Arachnida; Ixodida; Ixodidae.